Molecule: ribosomal RNA, 153 nt
Filed under: uncultured fungus
Lineage: Eukaryota; Fungi
Description: 5.8S ribosomal RNA
Rfam family: 5.8S ribosomal RNA
About the family: 5.8S ribosomal RNA (5.8S rRNA) is a component of the large subunit of the eukaryotic ribosome. It is transcribed by RNA polymerase I as part of the 45S precursor that also contains 18S and 28S rRNA. Functionally, it is thought that 5.8S rRNA may be involved in ribosome translocation.
Source: RNAcentral
AACUUUUGACAACGGAUCUCUUGGUUCUCCCAUCGAUGAAGAACGCAGCGAAAUGCGAUAAGUAAUGUGAAUUGCAGAAUUCAGUGAAUCAUCGAAUCUUUGAACGCACCUUGCGCUCCUUGGUAUUCCUUGGAGCAUGCCUGUUUGAGUGUC